AAGACCAUUAUUAAAAACCCACUGUUGGCAUAAUAAUAAUAAUAAUUAUGCCAAGAAAACUGGGACAACCCAUGUAAAUUGGGACAUACAAUUAUUCUAUCUAUAACUAAAACACCUUCACAGAUUUACGUGUUAAUGUUCAAGGUUUCCCUUGUCUUUGCCUUUCUUCUAGAUCACUUUUUACAGAAGAUGUUUUGUAAAUAGUUGAUGUUCAAAGAGUAUACCCUAGAAAGCAGAAGAGCCACUUCGCCUUCUCUCAUCCCUAGAAAAUUGUGUCUUAAGAAAAAAUUACAACAUUCCUAAAUCCUGGCCAACUGCACACUCAAUUUUCUUGAGCCUAUGUAACUACCUAACGGUUUUCUUAAGCUUGUAUAACUCCAUGAAACUGGAUCGGCACCAUUCAGUAGAACUCUGCAAUGAUGGAAUGUUCCAUAUGUGCUCUGUAGUGACAACAUAGUAGUCACUAGCAAUAUGAGUUAUUGAGAAGAUCAUGGCAAGAGUGACCAAGAAAUUAUAUUUUAAAUUUUAUUUAAUUUUUCUUAAUUUAAAAGUAUGUUUAAAUAGCUGCAUAUGUUUACCAACUAACAUAAUGAACAUCUCUAGAUCACUGGAAAUAAAAAGAUGAUGCACAAGUUGAUAUGGCUUGGCUGUGUCCCCACCCAAAUCUCAUCUUGAAUUCCCAUGUGUUGUGGGAGGGGCCCAGUGGGAGGUCAUUGAAUCAUGGGGGCAGGUCUUUCCCAUGCUGUUCUUGUGAUAGUGAAUAAAUCUCAUGAGAUCUGAUGGUCUUUAAAAGGGGAGCUUCCUUGCACAAGCUGUCUUCUCUUGUCUGCUGUCAUGUGAGAUGUGCCUUUGGCCUUUCACCGUAAUUGUGAGGCCUCCCCAGCCACAUGGAACUGAAGCUAUUAGAGGACACUCACCUUCAAAAUGAGGAGAAAUAUGAGAAAAGGAAGACAAGAAUUCAAGAAGUCAGAGAUCCAACAAUAAUAACAAAAGUGGUAAGGUAAUUCUCAGGAUGACAGUAACAGGAAGUCCCAAGAAGACAGAAGUCCAGAUUGGUGAAAGACAAUGAAGAAUUACAAGAGGUUUGCACUCUGAAGAGAAGAAGGAAAAAAACGGAACUCAUAGUUUGUCUAAUGUCUUUGACCACGUUUCAAGGAAGUACCUGGUUCUGUGCAAAGUUAGCAAAAGGUGUAUU
This is a long non-coding RNA of Cebus imitator (Panamanian white-faced capuchin), 1195 nucleotides long. RefSeq lists it as uncharacterized. The transcript is spliced from 2 exons. The record is from RefSeq and is a predicted model, not a curated record. NCBI's taxonomy places the organism in Eukaryota, Metazoa, Chordata, Mammalia, Primates, Cebidae.